CUAAUGGAAUUAUCCAGUUCAGAAUGAAAUCAUGUCUGAGUGACCUUCUUCAGUCUGGCUGUAGAUCUGUGGCUGACAGGUUUAAGGUUUUAUUUUAUUUUUUUCAUAGGUUAGUGUGAUGUCAGAGCCGUGUCCAGCUGUCACUCACAGAUUAGACUUUCUCUGAACAGAUAAGAUGACACCCCCCCCCCCCCCAUCAUAAAAACACUGAAGCAAAGAGAGGAAAAUGAGUGUAAACAUACUUAUUUUAUUCAGUAGAAGAAAAUACUGAACUUUAUGACUGGAUUAUGAACAUUCAGGAGCAAAAAGACCAAGAAACAAACCCUUAAAGCACAGAAAACGUCUUUUCAUGUUCGACUCUUGGUAUUUCACUGAUGCUUUUGGACUUUCUGGUUUUCCGUGUUUUCUGACAGUUUACUCGUGCUCUUUUUCAACCAAAACUGGAAUCUUAUGCCUUAAAACCUUAAAGAGAGAUGUUUUACUAUUUUUCAAGAACAUAUAAUUUUUUGGAAGUGGGAUGUUAUUUUUUUUUACAUAGAUUUAACCCAAAAUUUGCAUAAUUGGAGUAAAAUAGGAGAGGAUGUCCACUGGUACAACGACACUAUUACAAGAACUCAAACUAUUGAACAGAAUCCCUGUGAAUCACCACUGAUCCUGUUGUUUUUGUCAUGUAUGUCUGUUGUUCAUAUGUUUUAUGUUUAAUUGGACCAAAGUCAUUAACUCUGAACAUCUUAUUAUUCGACCAAAUCAGCCCAUUAGCUGUAUAGUUGUUGGCAGAUGUUUAUGUUGCACUGCUUGGUUUAUAGAAUUUACCUUCACAGUAAAUGGAGCAGAACUCAGCUUCUCAGUGUGUCACUUAAAAUCAUUAUGAGACACUCUAGUUAUGAAUGUAAAAUCAUUUAGAAAUAAAGCCAGUUAAAAAGU
Sphaeramia orbicularis (orbiculate cardinalfish) is the source of this 924-nucleotide long non-coding RNA. RefSeq lists it as uncharacterized. NCBI's taxonomy places the organism in Eukaryota, Metazoa, Chordata, Actinopteri, Kurtiformes, Apogonidae. The transcript is spliced from 2 exons. The record is from RefSeq and is a predicted model, not a curated record.